AUGGGGAGAUGGCUAGUCAGGGGUUCUCUAACGGUUCUAUUGGUUUGGUGAGGAGUCCGAUCUCGAAUUCUGUCUCUGGGGAUUCGUUGAAUCUUGGAAUUCGUGAACCUGUCUAUGAGGUUGUGGAAGUAAGGUCAGAUGGGAAUGUAUCUACCA
Olea europaea var. sylvestris is the source of this 156-nucleotide long non-coding RNA. RefSeq lists it as uncharacterized. The record is from RefSeq and is a predicted model, not a curated record. The transcript is spliced from 2 exons. Lineage: Eukaryota; Viridiplantae; Streptophyta; Magnoliopsida; Lamiales; Oleaceae.